GCCGGCUCGGGCGCGCACACCCGCCCGCGGCCACCCCGCCUCGCGCUCCGCCUCCUCCCGCGCUCCGCGCGCCCGCGGACUGGAGCGGCGGCGGCUGCCGCCGCCGCCUUCUCCUCCUCUUCCUGGGCGCCCGCAGCUCUCGAGAGAACUGUGCCAAGUUCCUCCUUGGAGAGGCAGCCAGAUGGACACCCAGAACUUUCCGUAUCUUCGUGUCGAGGAUGAAAAUCUGGUUAAAACAAAUGUAGACGUUGACAAGCACAAUCUACAAAAAGGAGAGAAAAGGAAAAGAAAUAACCUAUUGGUGGUCCUCAAAGGGAUGGAGUAACAUCAAGAAGGGCUUCCCAGAUGGCUCAGUGGUAAAGAAUCUACUUGCUAAUGCACGAAAUGCAGGUUUGAUACCUGGGUCAGGAAGAUCCCCAGAGAAGGAAAAUGGCAACCCAGUCCAGUAUUCUUGCCUUGGAAAUCUCACGGACAGAGGAACCUGCCGAGCUACAGUCCCGAGGGUCGCAAAAGAAUGGCACACGACUUAGUGACUAAACAACAACAACAACAAUAUCAGGAAAAGGCAGCAAUUGUCGCUUAAUGAUAAUUAUGGGUGACAACAGUUGGACUGCCUCUGCUGCUAAGGGAAGGCGAUUAAAGAGAAAAAAAGCAUCAUCAACACUUUAUGGAAAACUUUUUAAAAGUGAUUAUUCAUAUUGUAUGUAAAAAAUCUAGGAAAAAAAGUGUUUUCAUUAGUAAUUCACUAUUAAUUAAAAUGCAUGUCAUUCGAAGUAGUGUCAAUUGAUGGUGUAUUAGAAAACUCUUUGCUAUCUGGUGCAUUGUGCCUGUUUAUAUCUCCUUAGUGGAAUUUUAAUAAAUCAUCAUAAGGGUGACUUUAAUGGCUUAUUUGAAGAAAACAAAGAAUAUCUCUUUCAGAAAGUCAGAAGGAAAAUUGGAUGGUGGGUGUCUAAAUCAAACAUUAAAGCUAGUAUUAGAG
This is a long non-coding RNA of Bos taurus (domestic cattle), 979 nucleotides long. Lineage: Eukaryota; Metazoa; Chordata; Mammalia; Artiodactyla; Bovidae. The record is from Ensembl.